UGGGGAAUAUUGCACAAUGGGGGAAACCCUGAUGCAGCGACGCCGCGUGAAGGAAGAAGUAUUUCGGUAUGUAAACUUCUAUCAGCAGGGAAGAAAAUGACGGUACCUGACUAAGAAGCCCCGGCUAACUACGUGCCAGCAGCCGCGGUAAUACGUAGGGGGCAAGCGUUAUCCGGAUUUACUGGGUGUAAAGGGAGCGUAGACGGCACGGCAAGUCUGAUGUGAAAGCCCGGGGCUCAACUUCGGGACUGCAUUGGAAACUGUUGAGCUGGAGUGCAGGAGAGGUAAGCGGAAUUCCUAGUGUAGCGGUGAAAUGCGUAGAUAUUAGGAGGAACACCAGUGGCGAAGGCGGCUUACUGGACUGUAACUGACGUUGAGGCUCGAAAGCGUGGGGAGCAAACA
RNAcentral lists this ribosomal RNA (402 nucleotides) under uncultured bacterium. RNAcentral describes it as "bacterial SSU rRNA". It matches the Rfam family "Bacterial small subunit ribosomal RNA", at positions 355 to 774 of the family's 1533-position model. The record is from RNAcentral.